CCUGAGUGUUCCACAUGUCAGGAGACCAUCAAACUGAUCAGGCCCCAUAACAUCAUACCUGACCUGGCCCCUUUCAGCUUGCUGAGAGGAAGUGACUUCGGGUCAUUUCCCCCAAGUUUUCUGAAAGAGAGAAGAUGCCACAGAGUGGAUGUGUAGAGGAACGAAGGAAGCUUGGCGUCUCACAUCCUGCUGCCAGCUCUUAC
This is a non-coding RNA of Pelobates cultripes (western spadefoot toad), 203 nucleotides long. The record is from the annotation of a GenBank genome assembly. NCBI's taxonomy places the organism in Eukaryota, Metazoa, Chordata, Amphibia, Anura, Pelobatidae.